RNAcentral lists this ribosomal RNA (1023 nucleotides) under Foraminiferan sp. J65. Its description in RNAcentral is "bacterial SSU rRNA". It matches the Rfam family "Eukaryotic small subunit ribosomal RNA", at positions 1176 to 1778 of the family's 1831-position model. The record is from RNAcentral. Lineage: Eukaryota; Foraminifera.
GUGGAGCAUGUGGCUUAAUUUGACUCAACGCGGGAAAUCUUACCGGGUCCGGACACACUGAGGAUUGACAGGCACUAUACGAGAGUCGCGGCGAAGAGAUUCGCUAGCCCCUCGUAGCUAAAUAUGCUAGUCCUUUCAUGAUUAUGUGAUAGGUGGUGCAUGGCCGUUCUUAGUUCGUGGAGUGAUCUGUCUGCUUAAUUGCGUUUCGCUAAAGGGUCUUACAGCUGACAGCGUCUCACGUGCUCAGUGCCUCAAAACCACUGGGCCGUAGGUGCACCUAUUGUGAGCUUUCGACCCUGAAAGCAACGAACGUGACCGCAACCUCUUGUUGUGCUGAGCAUAGCACAAACUAGAGGGACCGCUGUUACUUUUCUUAAACCAGAGGAAGGUUGCGGCAAUAACAGGUCUGUGAUGCCCUUAGAUGUUCCGGGCUGCACACGUGCUACAAUGAUCAUUGCAGUGAGCAUCUCACACUCUACCGGAUAAUUCGUUAUCUCAACUGGUCUACCUGCGCUGUUGGCAGAUAUUCGCAUCUCUCACUCGACGUGAGCUAUAGCUCAACCCGUUAGCCUUUUAUUGGGUCGACACCCUGAGCUCUACUCGCACACGAAGUGUGAUGUGUCUGUGUGUCUUACAUGUGCGGUGGCCUUAGCCUACCUCGAGACGUAUGCUUGGGUAAUCAAUUACCAGUCAUGACUUCCAAUAUCACACACUGAUAUACGGCAUCGUUACCGCCAAGGCUCUUAAGACUCCGGUCUCAAGAGGCUAGUGCGUCUGUAUCUGAUGUUUUUUAACCGUAUGUGCGAUUGUCAAUUCAUGGUGGGAACAGACCAUUGUUAACUGUUGGUCUCGGUCGUAACUAGGAAUGCCUUGUACGGGUCCAGUUCAACAGACUACCCGGAAUACGUCCCUGCCCUUUGUUCACACCGCCCGUCGCUCUUGCCGAUGGACCUCACUGUGAGUUUGCCGGACUGGCUAUACUCGAUUAGCUAUACCAAGGUACACGAACAGUGUCGUCUAAAG